This 1334-nucleotide long non-coding RNA is filed under the name Homo sapiens (human). Its description in RNAcentral is "HSALNT0317754". Lineage: Eukaryota; Metazoa; Chordata; Mammalia; Primates; Hominidae. The record is from RNAcentral.
UCUUCUUGUCCUGGUAGUUCUUGGACUCAUCCACGAUCUUCUGAAACAUCGCUCUCUUCCUGAACCCAGGGAACAAGGGAGGUGCAGUGCUCACACACCCAGUGCUCACCCGCUGCAUCAGAACCCUGCUCCGCAGGAUACGGCCCUGCCGUCCUGCGGACGCUGCGUCCCCAGCGCCCACAGCAGAAACCGAGGGUUGUUGGUGCCGCGGUGGUCGAUGUCAUGGCACAGGCCGGCUGUCACCAUGGCGAAGGCCUCCAGGAGGGCCUGCACAACCCUGGUGAUUCUGGCAGCCACGUACCAUGAGCAGCGUGAACAUCGUCUGGGCCACGUUGAAGCCGUGGCGCCAGUUGUGGUAGGUGAUUCUCCGGUACCCUUUGCUGAUGGAGAACAGGAACCGCACCAGGACCUGGGGGAGCCGAGAGGACACAGGGCUCCGGCGGCAAGCGUGUAAGUCCCGCCAGAGCGGCACCUGUGGCUGACUUCACAGUGGAAGCCCUGCUCCGUGCCAUCAUCCCCACACCGUCUCCUGGACUUCCCGAUCUUCCCCAUCCCUGCGUUUCCCACUGGCCUCUGCUGGCCUUCCUGGGUAGGGGCUGCCACAUUGGCACCUAUGGGGUGGAGCCAGGUAGGGCAGGAGCUGAGAACAGCCCCAGCCUUCAGGGGCCGCCCAGCCUCCAUCCGACUGCCUGGCCUCAAGCUGGGAGGAGGACCCCUGGGGAUGCAGCAUAUUUUAAGAUGUUGGUUUUAGGCAUGGACAUUUGAAUGAGCAGAAUGUGUGGGCUGCAGGCUGGGGUGGGAGAACCGAUGUCCGCAGGGCAAGAGAAUGCUGGUCUCUCUUGCCCUGCGGACAUCGCCAGGAGGCUCUUCCUGCGGCCAUUGUGAUUUUUAGGGUCAGAAAAUUAUUUGGAAAUAUUUUUUAUUCUGCAAAUAUUUUCUAUACAUUUUUUCUUGAGUGUUUUCCCUUAGUAUUUAGUAAAACUUCUUUUGAAAAUGCUGGCCUGCUGCACCUGUUCUCAGAGGGGCAUGAGAAAAGAGGAUUCUCUUCCUAGGGCUGUGGGAAGCCCCUUGAGAUGUUGGAAGCAGGGCAGGGCAGGAGAACCCAGGGAGGGCACAGAGCUGUGGACGAGGGCUGGGAAAGCCAUCCCGCCUCCCCAGGGGGUCUCCGAGGAGUGCUGCUGUGGCCAAACCAGGGGGGCCACUUUGUGCUUUCUGUUUAGGUGAUGGGAUGCUUCUAUCUCCUCAGCACCCCACACCAAAUCCCCUGUUAUUGCCAGAUGAUGUGCCUAAUGAUCAAAUUGCUUGGAACUCCUAAUAAUAAAACUUUAAAUCUA